This is a long non-coding RNA of Oncorhynchus tshawytscha (Chinook salmon), 895 nucleotides long. Lineage: Eukaryota; Metazoa; Chordata; Actinopteri; Salmoniformes; Salmonidae. The record is from Ensembl.
AGGGAGUGAGAGAGUCUGACAGGGAGAGAGAGAGAGUGACAGGGAGAGAGAGAGUGAUAGGGAGAGAGAGAGAGUGUGACAGGGAGGGAGAGAGAGAGAGUGUGAUAGGGAGAGAGAGAGAUUGAUAGGGAGAGAGAGAGAGUGAUAGGGAGAGAGAGAGUGUGAUAGGGAGAGAGAGAGUGAUAGGGAGAGAGAGAGUGAUAGGGAGAGAGAGAGUGUGACAGGGAGAGAGAGAGUGUGACAGGGAGAGAGAGAGUGUGAUAGGGAGAGAGAGAGUGUGACAGGGAGAGAGAGAGUGUGACAGGGAGAGAGAGAGUGUGACAGGGAGAGAGAGAGUGUGACAGGGAGAGAGAGAGUGUGACAGGGAGAGAGAGAGUUGACAGGGGAGAGAGAGAGAGAGUGUGACAGGGAGAGAGAGAGAGUGUGAUAGGGAGAGAGAGAGAGAGAGUGUGACAGGGAGAGAGAGAGUGUGAGAGAGUGAGAGAGAGAGUGUGACAGGGAGAGAGAGAGAGUGUGACAGGGAGAGAGAGAGUGUGAGAGAGAGAGAGAGUGUGACAGGGAGAGAGAGAGUGUGACAGGGAGAGAGAGAGUGGGACAGGGAGAGAGAGAGAGUGGGACAGGGAGAGAGAGAGUGUGACAGGAGAGAGAGAGUGGGACAGGGAGAGAGAGAGUGGGACAGGGAGAGAGAGAGUGUGACAGGGGAGAGAGAGAGUGUGACAGGGAGAGAGAGAGAGUGUGACAGGGGGAGAGAGAGAGUGUGAUAGGGAGAGAGAGAGUGUGAUAGGGAGAGAGAGAGUGUGACAGGGAGAGAGACAGUGGGACAGGGAGAGAGAGAGUGUGAUAGGGAGAGAGAGAGUGUGAUAGGGAGAGAGAGAGUGUGACAGGGAGAGAGAGA